Long non-coding RNA from Cydia amplana, 324 nucleotides. RefSeq lists it as uncharacterized. The transcript has 3 exons. NCBI's taxonomy places the organism in Eukaryota, Metazoa, Arthropoda, Insecta, Lepidoptera, Tortricidae. The record is from RefSeq and is a predicted model, not a curated record.
AGAUGAAGCGGUGGCGGUCAUCAGACCGGUUCUGGUACGAGAACUCGGUGCACCCCGGAUCGUUCACAAAAGAGCAACUGUUCGAAAUCCGCAAGUCCCGGAUGUCGCGGUUGGUAUGCGACCACGGAGAGGGUGUGGACAGCAUACAGCCGUACUCCUUCCUGAUGCCGGGCCCAGGAAAUGAAAUAGUGAAGUGCCCCGAGAUACCAGCGAUGGGCACGUACCCGUGGAAGGACGAAUCCUGCUCUAAGGAAAAACACCUGUACGAAGAGAAGAUGGAUAACGGGUACUAUAGCCAGUUCAGUGAUUAUUUACAAAAGCUGU